CUCUUCGGGGAUGAUUAAACCGGCGCACGGGUGAGUAACACGUGAGUGACCUGCCUUUUAGACUGGAACAACUUACCGAAAGGUGAGCUAAUGCCGGAUGAGUUAUAUAAGUGCAUGUUUAUAUAGGAAAAGUUGGGGAGACCUGACGCUGAAAGAUGGACUCGCGUCCCAUUAGCUAGUUGGUAGGGUAAUGGCCUAUCAAGGCGACGAUGGGUAGCCGGCCUGAGAGGGUGGCCGGCCACACUGGGACUGAGACACGGCCCAGACUCCUACGGGAGGCAGCAGUGGGGAAUUUUGCGCAAUGCUCGUAAGAGUGACGCAGCGACGCCGCGUGAAUGACGAAGGCCUUCGGGUCGUAAAGUUCUUUCGACAGGGAGGAAAAUGCCUAUAAGUAACUGUGUAUGUAUUGACGGUACCUGUAUAAGCAGCCCCGGCUAACUCCGUGCCAGCAGCCGCGGUAGUACGGAGGGGGCGAGCGUUGUUCGGAGUGACUGGGCGUAAAGAGCACGUAGGCGGUGUUGUAAGUCAUUAGUCAAAGACUAGAGCUCAACUUUAGUAAGGCUAGUGAUACUAUAAUACUAGAGUAUCAGAGAGGAUUGCAGAAUUCCUGGUGUAGCGGUGAAAUGCGUAGAUAUCAGGAGGAAUACCGUUAGCGAAGGCGGCAAUCUGGCUGGAAACUGACGCUGAGGUGCGAAAGCGUGGGUAGCAAACAGGAUUAGAUACCCUGGUAGUCCACGCUGUAAACGAUG
RNAcentral lists this ribosomal RNA (749 nucleotides) under uncultured bacterium. RNAcentral describes it as "bacterial SSU rRNA". It matches the Rfam family "Bacterial small subunit ribosomal RNA", at positions 76 to 811 of the family's 1533-position model. The record is from RNAcentral.